Molecule: long non-coding RNA, 446 nt
Filed under: Manihot esculenta (cassava)
Lineage: Eukaryota; Viridiplantae; Streptophyta; Magnoliopsida; Malpighiales; Euphorbiaceae
Description: long non-coding RNA (MESC_LNC005576)
Source: RNAcentral
UUAGAUGGUUGUUGUAACCUCACAACAACAACAACAAGUUGUAUUUAUAGUUCUAUCAUAAAUAUGGCCGUUGGGGGUGCAUUAAAUGCAAAUAGAGCCGUUUAUGUUCAGAAAUAACCGUUAUACUGUGCCCAGAAAAACUCAGGUUCGGCGGCCUAAGCUUAGAGUUCGGCGGCCGAACCAUUUGGGGCGAAGAAACUAUUCCUUUAAAACUGAACUUUCGGCGGCCUAAACUCAAUGUUCGGCGGCCGAACAUGGUGGACUUUCGUUUCUGUUCCUCACUUUCGGAAGCCAAACUUUAGGCUUCGGAGGCAGACCCAAAACACACUUUCGGCGGCCGAAGGUUAAAUGUUCGGCGGCCGAAAGUGUGGGACUUUCGUCUCUGUCCCUCACUUUCGGAAGCCGAAGGUUACACUUAGGGGGCUGGUUGAAAACCCACUUUCGGC